Molecule: ribosomal RNA, 260 nt
Filed under: uncultured bacterium
Lineage: Bacteria
Description: partial 16S ribosomal RNA
Source: RNAcentral
GGACUACAGGGGUUUCUAAUCCUUAUCGCUCCCCAAGGCUUCGUCCCUCAACGUCAGUUUUUACAUAGAAUGUAGCCUUCGCCGUUACCCGUCCUACUAGUAUCAUAGAAUUUUGACUCUCCUCUAGUAAUUCGCCCAUUCUUACAUAAAACUCUAGAAAAUUAGUACCUAUUAUGGCUUGAUUUUCAGUCUAGGUACCCUUUAAACCCAUUAAAGAUGAAUAACACUAGUCUUCUACGUAUUACCGCGGCUGCUGGCAC